Long non-coding RNA from Cercocebus atys (sooty mangabey), 273 nucleotides. RefSeq lists it as uncharacterized. The record is from RefSeq and is a predicted model, not a curated record. NCBI's taxonomy places the organism in Eukaryota, Metazoa, Chordata, Mammalia, Primates, Cercopithecidae. The transcript is spliced from 4 exons.
CUGCCUCAAGAGGUAGCCACCGAAUCUCAGAAAAAGAAAAAUGACCUUGAGACUUGAGACGGCAUAACCUGGUGGUCCUGACCCUCUAUGGUGAUUGCAGACAGAGAUCUGCGUCGUUGACAACAAAGAGAUUAAAGGAGAGACCUUGGGAAAUAAUCUUAGAGUGAGAGGACAUAAUUUUCUACUUCCAAUUUCCCCUUCUGGCUAAGAUAAAAUGGAUAAAUGGAUAACCUGUUUGAUGUCUUGACAAGCACCCUGCUAUGAGUAUAUUAU